GAUGAACGCUGGCGGCGUGCCUAAUACAUGCAAGUCGAGCGAACGGACGAGAAGCUUGCUUCUCUGAUGUUAGCGGCGGACGGGUGAGUAACACGUGGAUAACCUACCUAUAUGACUGGGAUAACUUCGGGAAACCGGAGCUAAUACCGGAUGAUAUUUUGAGCCGCAUGGGUCAAAAGUGAAAGACGGUCUUGCUGUCACUUAUAGAUGGAUCCGCGCUGCAUUAGCUAGUUGGUAAGGUAAAGGCUUACCAAGGCAACGAGGCAUAGCCGACCUGAGAGGGUGAUCGGCCACACUGGAACUUAGACACGGUCCAGACUCCUACGGGAGGCAGCAGUAGGGAAUCUUCCGCAAUGGGCGAAAGCCUUACGGAGCAACGCCGCGUGAGUUAUGAAGGUCUUCGGAUCGUAAAACUCUGUUAUUAGGGAAGAACAUAUGUGUAAGUAACUGUGCACAUCUUGACGGUACCUAAUCAGAAAGCCACGGCUAACUACGUG
Molecule: ribosomal RNA, 497 nt
Filed under: uncultured bacterium
Lineage: Bacteria
Description: partial 16S ribosomal RNA
Rfam family: Bacterial small subunit ribosomal RNA
Source: RNAcentral